GAGGGGGCUCCACGCAGUCGAUGCCGCCGCUCGGCGGGCCACACAGAACCGGUACGAAGGGCGAGGAGGAAGGCGCGCUCGCGCCUAGUGAAUCCGGUCUGCGGGAGAUAGCGCGGUGGGCGCCCCUGCGCAACUCGGUCGUCGGGAUGGCGGAGCGCGAGCUCCCGUCUGAAGUUGCGACCUACGCCUGCAGUGGAUCCCCUCGCACGUCGGAGUCGCGGGCAACGAGACGGCGGACCAGCUGGCCAGGCCCUGCGCAACUCGGUCGUCGGGAUGGCGGAGCGCGAGCUCCCGUCUGAAGUUGCGACCUACGCCUGCAGUGGAUCCCCUCGCACGUCGGAGUCGCGGGCAACGAGACGGCGGACCAGCUGGCCAGGCGCGCACACGACCCGUCGACCGCGCUGACAGACCGGACACCAGCACAGACGACUCCUGCAGGCCAUAGAAGAAUCGGGACUCGGAUCCAAAGGACGUCGACUAGUUUCCACCAGUAGCGAUGGGGCGGAUGUUACUUUCCCCAUUCCUUUCACUGAUACCAUUAUCAUUUACGUGCUAGGUAGCUCACUUGCCGUGGUUGUAUUUGCUGUAGAGGUAGCAUGCCACCGAUAUCGCACACCCUCGAGAUCACAGCAAUAAAGACAAUAUGUUUAAUUUCAAUGGCACCGUGCGAAGAAUCUUGCACAGAAUUCUGGCGAACUUGUAGCUUUUGCCGCGUAACGAUAAUUAGUGACUUUAAGUGAACGUAUUAUACACUAAAUUUAUAGCAUUACGUUAUCUCCUGGAAACUUAACACAAAUGUAGCAACUACAGACAUUAAUUUACUGAUAUCAGAGUUCUACCUUGUGAGUGAACGACAUUGCUGUCACUGAACAAUCCAUCCUAGGUAGGAUCAAGUGGCACUGUCUCGCAGGUGUCACCGCAGCUAAAAGAAGCAGGGAACAAACGUACAAGAAAGAACUGUUCUAUUGAUUUUUUUGGAGCGAUAAUUAUGUCGGACUUCUUGGCAUAGUCGUUCGUACAACUGUAUUGGCAGAAAGGGUGCGAAUGCAUCGCACGGCUGUUUCUUGUUCGAGGCUACGCUGUGGACACAAGUAUGUCAUAAAACUUGCUGUAACAUCUCACAAAUACUUUAAAGAUUGGAAACACCGACAAAAUAUGUUGUUGAUGCGAGUGACCAUACACACAGAUGGCUUAUUAUUAUGACAACGACAGUAAUUACAUUUAUACUCGAGGCGCCUUUCCGCCGCCACCGUCGCCGUGCGGUUACGUGUGCGGUGGUGCAAGUGCGGCCUGCUUUGCCAGCGCGCUCACGUAUGUUCGAGGCCACGUGGUGUGCUGCAUGGGAGAGAGAGAAGAGCAACUAAGCGACGCCGAACAAAGAUGGCUGAUAUCUUCAUUCUUGCUGUCCUAAUUCAUGCACACUCUUUGUUUGAGGUCACGUGGUCUCCACUCUUGGAGGCACGCCAUAGUCAUAAUAGGGGAAGGGCCUUAAAGAAGCAACAAUCUGUCAAAGUGUCUCUGAACCAACCAUCGGGCUCGGUGAGAAAAGUGCGUACUGCACUCAACAUUCGCAACUCUAAACACAUAAGCCAAAGUCACAGUCGUUCGCUGCGCGUGGAGUUCAAAUUCAGACCUCGAAGUCACCAUUUUCACCACGUCACCGUUAUCAUCAAACGCCCUCUUUUCAAACAUAGGCCUUCUCCGCACUCACUGCGAUGCUGCAGGCCAAUGACACGCGUCGUCAUAUGCAAGCUUCCAAUAGACGGCUAAUGUUGGCCGACAGCUGCCAGGACAGGUCGCCGACUCGUGUUACUCGCGCGUCCAGUGUAGGUAUGCGCCAGAGUGGUGCUGUUUUUGUGGAGUGGCAGAGCCUGGGUGGAAUGUAUACCAGGCCGGCAGAAAAGGUUGUUGACAUUACGACUCUAACGCCGUCGCUUUACAGCAGUUCGCGUGCGGCGGCAGUCGCCGCAUUUGUGUGAAAUGCACCUGACGUAAUCACUCUUUUUUGGAGUUAAUAGCAGAGACCCCACGCGUUGUUAAAAGGCAGGGUUGCCACUGCGGUGCGCGGUUACUGAAGCGCGACCUGUCGGCAAGAUGAAAUGCGCACUACCGAUGCACGGUUACGAUAGAAAACAGGCUGCACAUAGGCGAUGUCAUAAAUCGCCGAUCGUAUUGCAAAAAAGGUGUGGACUGAGCACCAUCAUCGACACCGGUCUGCUUAGAAAUCUGAUGGGCUUGAAAAUCAGAAAAGUAAAUGCGGCACUUAUAGUAUCUCCGCUCCUACUAGAUUUCGGGAAAACUUAUUUAGGUAAUAUGUUGCUGGGGACGCACAGAACUCGUCACAAAGUGUAAUUGAUGCUUGAAAUAAAGACGACCACACACCAUGUAAGAUAAGCACUCGCGCAUCUCGCGGCAGGCGCUCCUCAUCGGCCAGCGUUUCGAACACAAGUGCUCACGGACAUGAGCUAAUCUCUUUGACGUGUGCCUUUCGGUGUGGGUGCAGCACUACGGUUGUUUAAUAUGUAGCAAACGUUUAUUACAGCUUAUACUGUGUUGAAAAGUACGAGCUUGAUUUUGUUCAAAGGUGUAAUACUGUGCUUAUCGCUAUCAAUUCUUAGAUUUUCGAGUUAAAAUGAUAUUUUUUUUGGUGCAUAUGUUCAGCCACAAGGAAUACUAUGUUGACAAAACUGGCGCAAUAAAGAUUGUUUACAGGUCGGCAUAA
Long non-coding RNA from Dermacentor andersoni, 2722 nucleotides. RefSeq lists it as uncharacterized. Lineage: Eukaryota; Metazoa; Arthropoda; Arachnida; Ixodida; Ixodidae. The record is from RefSeq and is a predicted model, not a curated record.